RNAcentral lists this transfer RNA (73 nucleotides) under Sphingopyxis macrogoltabida. It matches the Rfam family "tRNA". From Rfam's summary of the family: Transfer RNA (tRNA) molecules are approximately 80 nucleotides in length. Their secondary structure includes four short double-helical elements and three loops (D, anti-codon, and T loops). The record is from Rfam by way of RNAcentral. Lineage: Bacteria; Pseudomonadati; Pseudomonadota; Alphaproteobacteria; Sphingomonadales; Sphingopyxidaceae.
UUGAGCGUAGGUCGAAAUUCUCGAUAGCGGCUUUUGAUGCCGCCAUUCGCAGGUUCGAAUCCUGCCGCCCCAG